This 483-nucleotide ribosomal RNA is filed under the name Alkalihalobacterium alkalinitrilicum. RNAcentral's name for it is "Bacillus alkalinitrilicus partial 16S ribosomal RNA". It matches the Rfam family "Bacterial small subunit ribosomal RNA", at positions 924 to 1387 of the family's 1533-position model. Lineage: Bacteria; Bacillati; Bacillota; Bacilli; Caryophanales; Bacillaceae. The record is from RNAcentral.
AAAGACAGGGUGGAGUCAUCGUGGUUUAAUUCGAAGCAACGCGAGAACCUUACCAGGUCUUGACAUCCCUUUAAAACUCUUGAAAUUGAGGGUUGCCCUUCGGGGGACAGAGAGACGGGGGGUACGGGGUUGUCCUCAUCUUGUGUUGAGAGGUUUUGGGUUAUCUCCCACCACGAGCGCCCCCCUAGUUUUUUUUUGCCCACUUUUUGUGGGGCCCUUUAAAGAGACGGCCGGUAACAAACCGGAAAAAGGGGGGGAAGACCUCAAAUCAUCAGGCCCCUUAAAACCGGGGCUACACCCGUUCUACAAUGGGGGGUACAAAGGGGUGCAAAACCCCGGGGUGAACCCAAUCCCAUAAAACCCUUCUCAUUUUGGAUUGGAGGCCGCAACUCCCCCACAUAAAACUGGAAUUUCUUGUAAUCGCGGAACAACACGCCCCGGUAAAAACUUUCCCGGGUCUUGUACACCCCCCCCCCUUAAAAA